Molecule: long non-coding RNA, 1046 nt
Organism: Vidua chalybeata
Lineage: Eukaryota; Metazoa; Chordata; Aves; Passeriformes; Viduidae
Exons: 5
Source: RefSeq, a predicted model, not a curated record
GCCACUGCCGCGCGCCUGCCCACGGCCCGCCCUCGCGCGUGCCUGCGCUGACACCUGCCGGGGGCGCGCGGCCCUGAGGCGCUGAGGGGGCGGACGAGGCGGGAGGGAUCGACCGGGACUGCCCCCGCUCCCCGUCUCAUUCUGGCUCUCGCCCUCACUCUCCCUUCUCCUUCGUCUCCCUCUGUCUCUCGCUCUCACCCGCUCUUGGAGCUGCCAGGAGCCUCCCCUCCGGCUGUGGAGGCGUUCUGAGGGCAGCGCCCUCUGCAGCGUCGGCCCCGGGGCUGUGAGGGUGCGGUGCCGGGAGACGGCACUCGAGGGGCUGCUUCACACCGGCCAGCGCGGCUUAGAGAGGGAGAAAAAAACGGGGUUAAAAUUUUCCUCCACCAAGAAGAGAAGCAGGAGUGCAAAACGUUGGGAUAACUAAAUGCUCACAUCUGUGUUUAUGAAUGGUUUUGGAUCCUUGUGAGCGGAGAGGUAAUUCUGUGCACUUGUCUUGGAAGGGGUUCAAGAAUGAUGCAGUAGAUGGCAAAAUGGCCCUGCAGUCCUUUUUCUGCACAGAAGACUGGAGACUCACAGGUAAACCAUGACUGCUUCUUACAGUAUCUCUCACCAGUAGCUGCAAAUUUGUACUGCCUGGAAUCCUGCACCAGUUUCACAAGACAAGUGUGCAUUGAAAAAAAAAUCAUUUCAAUGGAAAUGCAUUUCAAGCACACAGUACAAUGUUGUGAUGUUAAGCUUCAACCCUGGGAUACAUCACAAGCCCAAAGCACGGAGAAACUCACUGACUGCAACAGUGUUUACAAAAAAGCAAAAGAACUCUGAUAUGUUCUUGGUUUGGCGUUCCUUGCUUACAAUUAGUCAGGCCCAAGGUCUUCAAGCAAAAUAAUCUGCUCCAACAUCACUGAUGUCCACAGUAGAGCUGAUAUAUGUCAGACAAAGUAAACAAACCAGAAUUAGUAUUUCUUUUUCAGUUCCACUACCUGAAACACACUGGUUCAACAAGUGAAUGCUGGCAAUAUCACAGCAGGUGCAGGAAUGUUAGUACU